RNAcentral lists this ribosomal RNA (731 nucleotides) under uncultured bacterium. RNAcentral's name for it is "bacterial SSU rRNA". It matches the Rfam family "Bacterial small subunit ribosomal RNA", at positions 55 to 795 of the family's 1533-position model. The record is from RNAcentral.
AUGCAAGUCGAGCGGAGACAGUGAGUAGCUUGCUAUGAGCUGUUUUAGCGGCGGACGGGUGAGUAACGCGUGAGCAACCUUUCCCAGACAGGGGAAUAACACACCGAAAGGUGUACUAAUACCGCAUAAGACCACGGGAUCACAUGGUUCUGAGGUAAAAGAUUUAUCGGUUUGGGGUGGGCUCGCGUCCGAUUAGGUAGUUGGUGAGGUAACGGCCCACCAAGCCGACGAUCGGUAGCCGACCUGAGAGGGUGAUCGGCCACAUUGGGACUGAGACACGGCCCAAACUCCUACGGGAGGCAGCAGUGGGGAAUAUUGGGCAAUGGAGGAAACUCUGACCCAGCAACGCCGCGUGGAGGAAGAAGGUUUUCGGAUCGUAAACUCCUGUCCUUGGAGACGAGUAGAAGACGGUAUCCAAGGAGGAAGCCCCGGCUAACUACGUGCCAGCAGCCGCGGUAAUACGUAGGGGGCAAGCGUUGUCCGGAAUAAUUGGGCGUAAAGGGCGCGUAGGCGGCUCGGUAAGUCUGGAGUGAAAGUCCUGCUUUUAAGGUGGGAAUUGCUUUGGAUACUGUCGGGCUUGAGUGCAGGAGAGGUUAGUGGAAUUCCCAGUGUAGCGGUGAAAUGCGUAGAGAUUGGGAGGAACACCAGUGGCGAAGGCGACUAACUGGACUGUAACUGACGCUGAGGCGCGAAAGUGUGGGGAGCAAACAGGAUUAGAUACCCUGGUAGUU